CACAACUCUUGAGUGUGAAUUUCCCAGCAACUAUCUUAUUCCAAAACACUUUCUUUUUUACUUCUUUGAAUCUUUGUAAAUAAUAAGCAAAUUACAUGUGUGAAGCCGUCUUUUUUUCUCUUCUGGAGUGCGGUUGUGGCUGAGGCAGACUUUACAUAGAAACUAGGAACAAAGCCAGCUUUGGCCCUGGACCUUGUCCUAGUCUCAGCCUCAAGCCACAAGCAGCAAGCUUCAGGACCAACCAUAAUGAAGAGUGGGCAUUUUUAUCCCUCAGAUGCAAUCCUGCCCCACUCCUCGAGCAUCUGUUCGCUCGUCUGCUACCCUGCCAGUCCGAUGGAGUGGAGACACUGAGUACUUGAGUAAAAUGUGCAAAAACAAUGACACCCUAGACGAUGUGUUUGACCAAGGAGCAACAAAUUGAAAUUAUACUGAUGGCUGGAUGAAAACUGGACCUGUUGCAGAUCAACCACAAUGUCCAAGAUGUAGGGCCAAUGAUGAAAACAUUAUAUGAAUAAAAACUUGCUUAAUUGUUGUUGUUGUUUAUUUUUCCUUUAUAUAUGAAAUAUAACACUACCAAUAAGCUAAAUGUUAAUAAAAAAAACAUUAUUUUGUACAUUUGAAGUCAGUGUUUCAAUUUUAUGGUUGAACUUUGCUGCUCAUGAUGUUGACAACACUUGCUUUGGAAACAUAAGAACAAUAAUUUUGGCUGUUUUUGAGCUACAUUUAUUGCUAAGUUAUGCUCAAUGCUGAAUUCAUUCAAAACACAUUUGUAAAGGGAAAAUGUAGAUGCGCCCUUUUUUGUUGAGAGGUUGGAUUUUCUUACUAUGAUCCAACUAUUUUUAACAUUAUUACUAACCCUAAAGGGUGGAAAAAAUUUCAGUAAGAACAAUAGAAGACAUACAAAUGCAAAAAAGGGUGUGUGAAGACUUCAAAAACUGUACAAUUUCUACAAGGUAACCUUAAAACGGGUUGUUAUGAAAAAAAAAUUAAACUAGAAAAAAAAAGUUAAAUGAAAAAA
Molecule: long non-coding RNA, 1018 nt
Organism: Oryzias melastigma (Indian medaka)
Lineage: Eukaryota; Metazoa; Chordata; Actinopteri; Beloniformes; Adrianichthyidae
Exons: 3
Source: RefSeq, a predicted model, not a curated record